RNAcentral lists this ribosomal RNA (533 nucleotides) under Loma branchialis. RNAcentral's name for it is "SSU rRNA". It matches the Rfam family "Microsporidia small subunit ribosomal RNA", at positions 778 to 1304 of the family's 1311-position model. Lineage: Eukaryota; Fungi; Microsporidia; Glugeidae. The record is from RNAcentral.
UUAAAGGAAAUUGACGGAAGAACACCACAAGGAGUGGAGUGUGCGGCUUAAUUUGACUCAACGCGGGACAACUUACCGGGUCCGACGACCGUAAGAGUGUGACACACGAUAGGUCGAAGAGUGGUGCAUGGCCGUUAACGACGAGUGGAGUGAUCUUUGGGGUAAGUCCGUAAAUUAGUGAGACCUCAGCCGUAAGGGACAGGUGCGCAAAGCACAGGAAGGAUGGGUCAAGGACAGGUCAGUGAUGCCCUUAGAUGGUCCGGGCUGCACGCGCACUACAGUGGUCGCCGAAAUUACCUGAUAAUUUUAAAGGCGAUCGAGAGGGAAUGAGCUUUGUAAGAGGCUCAGGAACGAGGAAUUGCUAGUAAUCGCGGACUCAUUAAGACGCGAUGAAUACGUCCCUGUUCUUUGUACACACCGCCCGUCGUUAUCGAAGAUGAAGACAGGUGCGAACGAUCUACCAGAAAGUGAGCGCAGGACUUUAGAUCUGAUACAAGUCGUAACAAGGUAGCUGUAGGAGAACCUGUAGCUGG